Molecule: unclassified non-coding RNA, 348 nt
Filed under: soil metagenome
Description: partial contains 5.8S ribosomal RNA, internal transcribed spacer 2, and large subunit ribosomal RNA
Rfam family: 5.8S ribosomal RNA (bases 1-120)
Source: RNAcentral
GAUGAAGAACGUAGCGAAAUGCGAUAAGUAGUGUGAAUUGCAGAAUUCAGUGAAUCAUCGAAUCUUUGAACGCACAUUGCGCCCGCCAGUAUUCUGGCGGGCAUGCCUGUCUGAGCGUCAUUUCAACCCUCAUGCCCCUAGGGCGUGGUGUUGGGGAUCGGCCAAAGCCCGCGAGGGACGGCCGGCCCCUAAAUCUAGUGGCGGACCCGUCGUGGCCUCCUCUGCGAAGUAGUGAUAUUCCGCAUCGGAGAGCGAUGAGCCCCUGCCGUUAAACCCCCAACUUUCCAAGGUUGACCUCAGAUCAGGUAGGAAUACCCGCUGAACUUAAGCAUAUCAAUAAGCGGAGGA